Solanum dulcamara is the source of this 328-nucleotide long non-coding RNA. RefSeq lists it as uncharacterized. The transcript has 3 exons. NCBI's taxonomy places the organism in Eukaryota, Viridiplantae, Streptophyta, Magnoliopsida, Solanales, Solanaceae. The record is from RefSeq and is a predicted model, not a curated record.
AUUUUAUGUGGUGCUGCAAAUUUAAGGUUGAGACAAUAUUGGACAACAUAUACGUAUAAACGCUAAAGGUACAGAUACUUAUUUUGGAGAGCCGCCACCUUAGGAUUCUACUCAACGGGUUGAAUUGCUCCAUUGUCUCGGAGCCUAAACUUUUGGUACUAAUCCUUAUAAUGUAUAUAUUUGUGUAUUUAGGGGUACGGCGGGGCCCUGUCCCGUCAUAUGCUAUUGUUAAUCCUCUUAGAGGUCUGUAGACAUAUGAGUGAGUUGUAUGUAGAUGUUGUCUGGUGUACUAGUAUGGCUUAUGUUUUUGGACAUUUACAUUGGGAGU